UGGGGAAUAUUGCACAAUGGGCGAAAGCCUGAUGCAGCGACGCCGCGUGCGGGAUGAAGGCCUUCGGGUUGUAAACCGCUUUUAAUUGGGAGCAAGCGAGAGUGAGUGUACCUUUUGAAUAAGCACCGGCUAACUACGUGCCAGCAGCCGCGGUAAUACGUAGGGUGCAAGCGUUAUCCGGAAUUAUUGGGCGUAAAGAGCUCGUAGGCGGUUUGUCACGCCUGGUGUGAAAGUCCAUCGCUUAACGGUGGAUCUGCGCCGGGUACGGGCAGGCUAGAGUGCAGUAGGGGAGAUUGGAAUUCCCGGUGUAACGGUGGAAUGUGUAGAUAUCGGGAAGAACACCAAUGGCGAAGGCAGAUCUCUGGGCUGUUACUGACGCUGAGGAGCGAAAGCAUGGGGAGCGAACAGGAUUAGAUACCCGUGGUAGUCCAUGCCGUAAAA
This 441-nucleotide ribosomal RNA is filed under the name uncultured bacterium. RNAcentral's name for it is "partial 16S ribosomal RNA". It matches the Rfam family "Bacterial small subunit ribosomal RNA", at positions 355 to 807 of the family's 1533-position model. The record is from RNAcentral.